Molecule: ribosomal RNA, 259 nt
Filed under: uncultured Planctomycetota bacterium
Lineage: Bacteria; Pseudomonadati; Planctomycetota
Description: uncultured planctomycete partial 16S ribosomal RNA
Rfam family: Bacterial small subunit ribosomal RNA
Source: RNAcentral
GGUGGGUUUGUAAGUCAGAUGUGAAAGCCUCCUGUUCAACGGGAGAAUUGCAUCUGAAACUGUGAAUCUUGAGUGUAGGAGGGGAGAAUGGAACUUCUGGUGGAGCGGUGAAAUGCGUAGAUAUCAGAAGGAACGCCGGCGGCGAAAGCGAUUCUCUGGCCUAUUACUGACACUCAGUGUGCGAGAGCUAGGGGAGCAAACGGGAUUAGAUACCCCGGUAGUCCUAGCCGUAAACGAUGGGCACUAAGUAGAGGGGUUU